UAGUCCACGCCGUAAACGAUGGAUGCUAGCAGUAUGGGGUAUCGACCCCCUGUGUUGCGAAGCUAACGCGUUAAGCAUCCCGCCUGGGGAGUACGGUCGCAAGAUUAAAACUCAAAGGAAUUGACGGGGACCCGCACAAGCGGUGGAGCGUGUUGUUUAAUUGGAUGCUAAGCCAAGAACCUUACCAAGGUUUGACUUCCUGCGAAGGACUACGAAAGUAGACUGUGCCUUUUGGAACGCAGUGACAGGUGAUGCAUGGCCGUCGUCAGCUCGUGUCGUGAGAUGUUGGGUUAAGUCCCGCAACGAGCGCAACCCUUGUGGUUAGUUGUAUUUUUUCUAGCCAGACUGCCUCGGUAACGGGGAGGAAGGAGGGGAUGAUGUCAGGGUCCUCAUUUCCCUUACACCUUGGGGCCACAAACGCGCUACAAUGGCCGGUACAAAGGGGCAGCUAAGUCGCAAGACGGAGCAAAUCCCAUCAAAGCCGGUCCCAGUUCGGGAUAGCAGGGCUGAAACUCGCCUGCUUGAAGUCGGGAA
RNAcentral lists this ribosomal RNA (534 nucleotides) under uncultured bacterium. RNAcentral describes it as "bacterial SSU rRNA". It matches the Rfam family "Bacterial small subunit ribosomal RNA", at positions 791 to 1331 of the family's 1533-position model. The record is from RNAcentral.